AUGGUUAGGAAAGUCCAUGCUAGCACAGUCUGAGAUGACUGUAGUGUUUGUGCUUAGCAAAACAAUAAGCUAAGGCAUAGAGAUAUGACGGCGAAAGAAGCCUAAGUUCUUAUCGAAUAGGGCGUAUUUCAUAACGUGCCACAGAGACGAGUUCUAUAGAAAUGUAGAAAUGAAACGUUGGUAAACCCCUCAAGCUAGAAACCCAAAUUUUGGUAGGGGAGCUUCAUUUGACAAAUUUAAGGAAGUUAAAAUGGAGGCAAUUUUUGCAGAUAAAUAGUUACCACCUGAGGAUUUCAGGGACAGAACAUGGCUUACAG
RNAcentral lists this RNase P RNA (317 nucleotides) under human gut metagenome. RNAcentral describes it as "Bacterial RNase P class B". It matches the Rfam family "Bacterial RNase P class B". From Rfam's summary of the family: Ribonuclease P (RNase P) is a ubiquitous endoribonuclease, found in archaea, bacteria and eukarya as well as chloroplasts and mitochondria. Its best characterised activity is the generation of mature 5'-ends of tRNAs by cleaving the 5'-leader elements of precursor-tRNAs. Cellular RNase Ps are ribonucleoproteins. The record is from RNAcentral.